GAUGAACGCUAGCGGCAGGCUUAACACAUGCAAGUCGAGGGGUAUUGGUUUUCGGACCAAGAGACCGGCGCACGGGUGCGUAACGCGUAUGCAAUCUACCUUUUGCAGAGGGAUAGCCCCAGAGAAAUUUGGAUUAAUACCCUCAUAGUAUAGUACUUUGGCAUCAAGGAACUAUUAAAGUCACAACGGCAAAAAGAUGAGCAUGCGUCCCAUUAGCUAGUUGGUAAGGUAACGGCUUACCAAGGCUACGAUGGGUAGGGGUCCUGAGAGGGAGAUCCCCCACACUGGUACUGAGACACGGACCAGACUCCUACGGGAGGCAGCAGUGGGGAAUAUGGACAAUGGGCGAAAGCCUGAUCCAGCAAUGCCGCGUGAGUGAU
RNAcentral lists this ribosomal RNA (380 nucleotides) under uncultured bacterium. RNAcentral's name for it is "bacterial SSU rRNA". It matches the Rfam family "Bacterial small subunit ribosomal RNA", at positions 28 to 409 of the family's 1533-position model. The record is from RNAcentral.